RNAcentral lists this long non-coding RNA (1301 nucleotides) under Equus caballus (horse). Its description in RNAcentral is "lncRNA (ENSECAG00000053281.1)". Lineage: Eukaryota; Metazoa; Chordata; Mammalia; Perissodactyla; Equidae. The record is from RNAcentral.
GUCUCCCCGGAGCUGCCAAGAGGCUGGUCCCCAGAGAAGCCCUUUGCGAGCCUGAGCUUGUCCCGAGAGUCAAGCUCUUCUCUAGGUACACGUUGAACAAAGCCCGCCCCCACACAGAGGCCGCCCCUUGGCUGCCAAGGACAGCAACGUCUUUGUUCUCAGGCUCUUUCAGAGCCCAGGGCCUACGAAGUGGACAAUAGGCCUGCCUUGUCCUUCCUUUGGCCUCACUUUCCUUAGAGGCCACAGUGGUUGGGGGGGUCAGGCAAGGAUGCAUGCCCUCGGGGUCCUAGGGGCCCACCCUGUGGGUUUCAGGCAGCUUCUUUUGUACUUCAGGCUGAAACGGUUGGUGCCAAGGAGAGGAGAGCGAGCAGGAGCGUGCCCUUCCCUCGAACAGGACUUCGCGUUCUGACCAACGGUAGAGGGUUGAACGGGCCUGCCAGGAGAUGCAUGCGAGUCCUAACCCCGGGUAGCUGUGCACGCACCCUUAUUUGGAAAUAAGGCCUUUGCAGAUGUAAUUAAGUUGAGGAUCAUGAGAGGAGAUCAUUGCAGAUUUAGGGCCCUAAAUCCAAUGACUGGUGUCCUUAGAGAGAAAAGAGACAGAGUUCUGACACUCAGAGACUAGGGUGAAGACGCAGCCAGCCCUAGGACAAAGGACGCCUGGGGGCCCCAGAAGCUGGAGGAGGUAGGAACGAUCUUCCCCUAGAGCCCGGGAGGGAGCAUGGCUCUGCCCACAUGAAGGUUUUCCUCCAGAACUGUGAGAGAAGAAAUUUCUGUUGUUUUAAACCACCCAAUUUGUGACAAUUUGUUACAGCAGCCCCAGGAAACUCACACGCCAGCCGUGGGUGCUUCCUGAGCCUCUGUGGUAAAGCCUCUUCUCUGCAUUUUGCAAAGUUCAAAGCCGGUGUUUAACAGGGUUCUGGACAGUGCCAAACGCUGUGAAAGGUAGAAGAAAUGAGCGGCUACGGUCCCAGGACCCAAGCAACUUACAACUCUAUGGGAGAGACAGACCUGAUUCUUCUACCUUCUCAUUUAAGGCAGUAUGUCUUGUAAUGGUGAUGCCAAGUGCAAAGGCAUAUAGAAAAAGAAGAGGCGAAAGGAGAGGCUUCGGGAGGGCCACAGACUGAACAGGCUGCAUUUUCACUUGAAGGAAAAUCUUCUUUUACAUGAUGUCUCUUCCUACACGCCCACGCUUAAUAUGGCGCCUGAAUAAAUUAAGGGGCUGAAUAAAUGUCUGCUGAAUUAACAAAGGAAUGAAUAAAUGAACAUAUAAAGUGAAGAUAGAAAUAAAAUCAUCUUGGACA